RNAcentral lists this ribosomal RNA (497 nucleotides) under uncultured bacterium. Its description in RNAcentral is "partial 16S ribosomal RNA". It matches the Rfam family "Bacterial small subunit ribosomal RNA", at positions 28 to 507 of the family's 1533-position model. The record is from RNAcentral.
GAUGAACGCUGGCGGCGUGCCUAAUACAUGCAAGUCGAGCGAACAGACGAGGAGCUUGCUCCUCUGACGUUAGCGGCGGACGGGUGAGUAACACGUGGAUAACCUACCUAUAAGACUGGGAUAACUUCGGGAAACCGGAGCUAAUACCGGAUAAUAUAUUGAACCGCAUGGUUCAAUAGUGAAAGACGGUUUUGCUGUCACUUAUAGAUGGAUCCGCGCCGCAUUAGCUAGUUGGUAAGGUAACGGCUUACCAAGGCAACGAUGCGUAGCCGACCUGAGAGGGUGAUCGGCCACACUGGAACUGAGACCCGGUCCAGACUCCUACGGGAGGCAGCAGUAGGGAAUCUUCCGCAAUGGGCGAAAGCCUUACGGAGCAACGCCGCGUGAGUGAUGAAGGUCUUCGGAUCGUAAAACUCUGUUAUUAGGGAAGAACAAAUGUGUAAGUAACUAUGCACGUCUUGACGGUACCUAAUCAGAAAGCCACGGCUAACUACGUG